CGACCGGCUAUCUCUUGCGCUGGUCGCACCAAGCGCUGGUACAUCCCCACGCAUCCACGUACAUAGCUAUGGCCCAGCUCACCGCCCCGCUCUUAUCCCCUUACGCAUUUUCCUUCACAGCCUCUCCUUCCACCUCACGCAGGCCCAAUUCAAUCUUCUCUCUCCGUUCAGCCCUCAUCCCUACACGACAGGGCCACAUAUUUUUGCUGCCGCGCACAUCUCGUCCAAGAUCGAUGGCGAGGUCAUCGGCAUCGCGCUCCUUUCCUGUAGAGUCGCUGGACGUCCGCGCGCAACGAGCUUUUCCAUGGCGAACGAGAGCUUCGCCCAAAGAUUUCUGUGACGACUGCGUCUGAGGGAUGCUGGAACCGCCCAGUCCCGGGCUACGCCCGGCGAGCACCGGUGCUGCAACCGACGGCGUCAAGCACUAGACCCGGCAAGGGGUUGUGCUGGGUUUGCCCCUUUUUUGAGCACAUACAACACCAAUGUUACCACCAGUGAUUUGUUUUGCCAGCACCGGCGGCAAAUUUUGCUGGAAUCGGUGACUUUUUUUCCUGGGAUCCGUAAUUUUGUGUGAUUUUUGCUGCAUCCGGCAUUCGAUUUUGCUACGACCCGCAUUGAAUUUUGUUGGAAUCGGCGAGUGUUUCUUUGCUCGGUUGUGCAAAUGUGAUGUUUUUUCCGGUCAAUUUUUUUUGCUACAACCAUGUUUUGAUUUUGCUGGAACCGGAGACAAUUUUUGCUACAUCCAUGUUUUGAUUUUGCUGGAACCGGACACAAUUUUUGCUACAUCCACCCACGGCGGUGUUGGUCGACGGCGGCGAUGGCUAUUUUUCGCUACAACCGUCUCAGAGUUUUUGCUACUACCGGAGAUGUCAUUUGCUACUAUUAGAGUUUUUUUUUCUGUACCAACAUUUUUUUGCUACAACCAUAACUUCAAUUUUGCUGGAACCACGUUUUCAAAAGAUUCAACAGGGUGCGGUGACACAGAGGUGCUUUUUUGACAAUUUUUUGUUGUUGCGAGCAUCGGCGGCGAGGAUGACACGGAGCUGCAACCGGCGACUGGCGUUGCCGGAGCCGCGACCAUCACCAGCUAGGGAAGCUGCAACCCACGGGCGAAGUUUUUGCUGUGCGUGGAUCCCAACGAGAAACAUGGGAGAAGACGGCGGCGACUGGCGGCGAGCGCGGCAUCCAGCAGCGCAGGGGCGACGGAGAGAGGAGGUCCAAGUGAGUGGGUGAUGGCCGGCGGCCGGGAGGACGUCGAGGCCACCGGGCUUUAUGGAGAGGAAGAGGGAGAGAAAAAGUCAACGCGGGGAUCAGGGAUCGAACGACUCGUAGUCGCUUGAUCGGGCGGUUGGGGCUAGUCCGGUCCAACUGUUCGCCGGACUGCCGGCGCCUAUCACUGCCCUUCGGACUAUGCAAGAACUACAGGAAAUAAACAUCACGUAUGUAUCUAGCUUGCUUGUUUCUUCCCAGCCGAUCGAAUCACAACUUCUUCGGUAGUCCUGAAAUUUGGUUUGAUGUUUUUCUGUGGUAGUUGAAUCUAGAGCAACAUAGAACCAACUAAAACUUGUUGCAUUGAGUUAUAAUGGCCCAAGUUUAUUUCCUUCUGUGUAGCUUUAUCACCGGUGGUUAUAGCAUCCCCUUCCUCUUGAAACGAAGCCACGGUUUCAUGAUAGCAUUACGACUCGUAGUGAAAUGACAAAAAAGACCACAUGCAAUUAAAAUUGCAAAAAUUACCGUGGCCGCAAGCUCGGCAGGCGGCACGUGUCCCUGCCGCCGUAGCCUGUUGCGGCAAGACCUGCCACCGUAGACCGUGGCG
This 1816-nucleotide ribosomal RNA is filed under the name Triticum aestivum (bread wheat). Its description in RNAcentral is "partial small subunit ribosomal RNA". Lineage: Eukaryota; Viridiplantae; Streptophyta; Magnoliopsida; Poales; Poaceae. The record is from RNAcentral.